RNAcentral lists this ribosomal RNA (253 nucleotides) under uncultured bacterium. RNAcentral's name for it is "partial 16S ribosomal RNA". It matches the Rfam family "Bacterial small subunit ribosomal RNA", at positions 524 to 776 of the family's 1533-position model. The record is from RNAcentral.
UACAGAGACUGCAAGCGUUAUCCGGAUUCACUGGGUUUAAAGGGUGCGUAGGCGGGCAGGUAAGUCAGUGGUGAAAUCCCCGAGCUUAACUUGGGAACUGCCGUUGAUACUAUCUGUCUUGAAUGUUGUGGAGGUAAGCGGAAUAUGUCAUGUAGCGGUGAAAUGCUUAGAUAUGACAUAGAACACCUAUUGCGAAGGCAGCUUGCUACACAAUUAUUGACGCUGAGGCACGAAAGCGUGGGGAUCAAACAGG